RNAcentral lists this unclassified non-coding RNA (257 nucleotides) under uncultured Lactarius. RNAcentral describes it as "sequence contains ITS2". Lineage: Eukaryota; Fungi; Basidiomycota; Agaricomycetes; Russulales; Russulaceae. The record is from RNAcentral.
AAUUCUCAACCUCCUUGGUUUCUUCUGGAGACUGAAGGAGGCUUGGACUUUGGAGGCCUUUGCUGGCAUCACUUGCCAGCUCCUCUUAAACGAAUUAGCGGGGUCCUCUUUGCCGACCCUCGACAUGUGAUAAGAUGUUUCCAUGUCUUGGCUUCUGGCUCUGUCACCUUUUGGUUGGGACCUGCUUCUAACCGUCUUUGUGAAGACAACGUUCGAGCUCGUCUCCCUUCUCGGGAAACCCCCUCGACCUCACGAAC